GGAACUGUCUCCUCCUGGUUUGUGCCUGGGGUAAGAUUCUCAGAGGCGUCCUGACAUCACCGUGACCAUGAUUUCACCAGGCUGACACUCUGCAAGGUUGUCAUAAUCUGAAAUCUCUGCUCCUGGAAAGAGAAUUCUCUGUUUGAGAUGAAUAAUAGGUUGAAUAUGGUAUGUGACAGCUCUGUAGUCUCUGAAGAUAUAACAUGAACAAAUAUAUUCUGGAAAACUGGUGUUAGAAUGCUACUGAGGAUUUAGAAGGAUCUCGACUACCAGACAGGGAAUCAUUCAGAAGACUUUGAUCUAGGAUGACACUUCACUCCUACAAACCUGCCAGCAAGUCAUGGCAGUCUCCCCCUGAGUCAAGCUCCCGGCUUGCUCCAGUGCUGCCUGUCUCUUCAGCAUCCUGCGUAACCUCAUCAGUGUCCACCCGUGAGUCACGCCGUAAAGCAC
This is a long non-coding RNA of Calidris pugnax (ruff), 450 nucleotides long. RefSeq lists it as uncharacterized. Lineage: Eukaryota; Metazoa; Chordata; Aves; Charadriiformes; Scolopacidae. The record is from RefSeq and is a predicted model, not a curated record. The transcript is spliced from 3 exons.